AAAAUCAGGGGCUCAACCCCUGACCUGCAUCCGAUACGGUCGAGCUAGAGUUUGGUAGGGGAGACUGGAAUUCCUGGUGUAGCGGUGGAAUGCGCAGAUAUCAGGAGGAACACCGAUGGCGAAGGCAGGUCUCUGGGCCAAUACUGACACUGAGGAGCGAAACUGGGGGAGCGAACAGGAUUAGAUACCCUGGUAGUCCACGCCGUAAACGGUGGGCGCUAGUUGUGCGAACCUUCCUCGGUUUGUGCGACGCAGCUAACGCAUUAAGCGCCCCGCCUGGGAGUACGAUCGCAAGAUUAAAACUCAAAGGAAUUGACGGG
Molecule: ribosomal RNA, 320 nt
Filed under: uncultured actinomycete
Lineage: Bacteria; Bacillati; Actinomycetota; Actinomycetes; Actinomycetales
Description: bacterial SSU rRNA
Rfam family: Bacterial small subunit ribosomal RNA
Source: RNAcentral